UACGGAGGAUGCAAGCGUUAUCCGGAAUGAUUGGGCGUAAAGCGUCCGCAGGUGGCUAUGUAAGUCUGCUGUUAAAGAGUGAGGCUCAACCUCAUAAAAGCGGUGGAAACUACAUGGCUAGAGUGCGUUCGGGGCAGAGGGAAUUCCUGGUGUAGCGGUGAAAUGCGUAGAGAUCAGGAAGAACACCGGUGGCGAAAGCGCUCUGCUAGGCCGCAACUGACACUCAUGGACGAAAGCUAGGGGAGCGAAUGGG
Molecule: ribosomal RNA, 253 nt
Filed under: uncultured bacterium
Lineage: Bacteria
Description: partial 16S ribosomal RNA
Rfam family: Bacterial small subunit ribosomal RNA
Source: RNAcentral